Molecule: transfer RNA, 81 nt
Filed under: Paragonimus westermani
Lineage: Eukaryota; Metazoa; Platyhelminthes; Trematoda; Plagiorchiida; Troglotrematidae
Description: tRNA-Ser
Rfam family: tRNA
About the family: Transfer RNA (tRNA) molecules are approximately 80 nucleotides in length. Their secondary structure includes four short double-helical elements and three loops (D, anti-codon, and T loops). Further hydrogen bonds mediate the characteristic L-shaped molecular structure. tRNAs have two regions of fundamental functional importance: the anti-codon, which is responsible for specific mRNA codon recognition, and the 3' end, to which the tRNAs corresponding amino acid is attached (by aminoacyl-tRNA synthetases). tRNAs cope with the degeneracy of the genetic code in two manners: having more than one tRNA (with a specific anti-codon) for a particular amino acid; and 'wobble' base-pairing, i.e. permitting non-standard base-pairing at the 3rd anti-codon position.
Source: RNAcentral
GGCUUUGUAGCUCAGUUGGUAGAGCGCUUGCAGCGUUUGAGCAUGCUGUUUCUGUCGCUGAUUUGAAUCCAGCCGAAGUCC